RNAcentral lists this ribosomal RNA (301 nucleotides) under uncultured bacterium. RNAcentral's name for it is "partial 16S ribosomal RNA". It matches the Rfam family "Bacterial small subunit ribosomal RNA", at positions 509 to 807 of the family's 1533-position model. The record is from RNAcentral.
CAGCAGCCGCGGUAAUACGAAGGGUGCAAGCGUUAAUCGGAAUUACUGGGCGUAAAGCGUGCGUAGGCGGUUCGUUAAGUCUGUUGUGAAAUCCCCGGGCUCAACCUGGGAAUGGCAAUGGAUACUGGCAAGCUAGAGUGUGUCAGAGGAUGGUGGAAUUCCCGGUGUAGCGGUGAAAUGCGUAGAGAUCGGGAGGAACAUCAGUGGCGAAGGCGGCCAUCUGGGACAACACUGACGCUGAGGCACGAAAGCGUGGGGAGCAAGCAGGAUUAGAUACCCCCGUAGUCCCUGUCUCUUAUAC